Molecule: transfer RNA, 69 nt
Filed under: Pimephales vigilax (bullhead minnow)
Lineage: Eukaryota; Metazoa; Chordata; Actinopteri; Cypriniformes; Leuciscidae
Description: tRNA-His
Rfam family: tRNA
About the family: Transfer RNA (tRNA) molecules are approximately 80 nucleotides in length. Their secondary structure includes four short double-helical elements and three loops (D, anti-codon, and T loops). Further hydrogen bonds mediate the characteristic L-shaped molecular structure. tRNAs have two regions of fundamental functional importance: the anti-codon, which is responsible for specific mRNA codon recognition, and the 3' end, to which the tRNAs corresponding amino acid is attached (by aminoacyl-tRNA synthetases). tRNAs cope with the degeneracy of the genetic code in two manners: having more than one tRNA (with a specific anti-codon) for a particular amino acid; and 'wobble' base-pairing, i.e. permitting non-standard base-pairing at the 3rd anti-codon position.
Source: RNAcentral
GUAAGUAUAGUUUAAUUAAAACGUCAGAUCGUGAUUCUGAAAACAGGGGUUAAACUCCCCUUACUUGCU